CACGCAGGCGGUUUCUUAAGUCCUUUGUGAAAGCCCGGGGCUCAACUCCGGUACUGCAGAGGAUACUGGGAGACUGGAGACAGGUAGAGGCUAGCGGAAUUCCUGGUGUAGCGGUGGAAUGCGUAGAUAUCAGGAAGAACACCUGUGGCGAAGGCGGCUAGCUGGGCCUGUUCUGACGCUCAUGUGCGAAAGCGUGGGGAGCAAACA
RNAcentral lists this ribosomal RNA (207 nucleotides) under uncultured bacterium. Its description in RNAcentral is "partial 16S ribosomal RNA". It matches the Rfam family "Bacterial small subunit ribosomal RNA", at positions 568 to 774 of the family's 1533-position model. The record is from RNAcentral.